GGCGGGAGGAAUGAUGAUGAGCAUGAGCCCCCCAAGGAUGAACUACUUUUCCCCGCCGUCCGGUGAUUCCAUCGGAAAUUUCGAUCCAUUUACAUUGUGCAAUUUUGCAGAUCAUAGUGAGGCUCAAGAGUUAGAGAAUAGGAAGGGAAUGAUGAUGCGGCCAACUUGUAUAGAAGAAGUUGAUGCUGGCCGUGCCAGUGCCUUGGGACAGAAUCAAAGCCUUGGCAUUUGGCCAGCAGCACAAAACAUGGGAGGUAGGGGUGUUCAAACUCAGCAAAUUUUCUUUUUCCAACUGACAAAGUUCAAUUAAUCGUUUUUUAAGAGAACUUUUUUCUGGUUAAAUUGGUUCGGCUAACCGAUUACACACCCUAAUGCGAGGUUAAAGUUGGUGAUCACUCUGUUAAUAAUUGGCGGGAGGAAUGAUGGCGAGUUCGCCAACCAUGAACUAUUCAUUGACGUCCGAUGAUUUCCAUUACCUAGGAGGGAGUUUUGACCCAUAUAGAUUGCGGGAUAAUGGAGUGUAUAGUGUGGUUCAUGAGUUACAGGAUGUGAAACGAGUAGUGAAGGUGACUUAUUGAUUUCUUGUACUGGGUACUGAGCUUUUCUUCCCCGAGAAAUUUAAUCAGAAUAUGGCUAUAAAGUUAGUUGAGUUUCUUGAAAUCGAAGCAAUAUUGCCGCUGGCGUAUAUACAUGUUCUUUCCUUGGAAAAUAAGUAUUUUGUGGUAGACCUUAAGUAUAUUUUUUCUUAAAAGAGAUUGAGGAGUUAAAGGGUAAUUUUUGCAUUCCGCAAACACUUGCAAGAAUCAAGAUGAGGAGUUUGGAAUGCCUGUGUCAGAAUAUUGUUAUAAACCAGAGGGCCGCCGGGAAGAGGCGGCGUUGCUGUCGAGGGCUCUCGGCGGAGGUAGAGGCGGAAGCAGUCGGCAGAUCCAGAGAGGCAGAGGCGGCGACGGAGGCGGAGGCGGCCACUGGCGAGUUGCAAACGGGCAGCAGCGAGCAGAUUAGGAAGAAGAAAUCAAGGCGUUGGGACUUUGGCAUCACUAGAAGAAGUUGGUACUGCCUCGGAAGAGAUUCAUACUGCUGACAUUUGGCCUGCAGGGAGCCAAAAGCUGAGUUAACUUGGAUGAAAAGUACAGGCCCACAUUCCCGAAUCCAGUGCAACAAAUGAACAAAGAAACAAUGUUGUUGAGUUAAAUAAUAGCAUUGAUGCCAAAGGUGGAAACAGUAGUUCAGACAAAACUGACACUAUCAGCAGGUGGGAGAAAGAUCAUGGAAUUACCCGCAAGGUUCUUCAACAACUGUUUGGUAAGAGUCGUGAUGAUGCUGCUAAAACUCUUAAAGUUAGCACAUCUACAUUCAAGCGAGCAUGUCGGGACUUUGGCAUCAAUAGAUGGCCAAAUCACAAGGGAAAAAGGCCCAAUUGCUCUCUCAACCAAAAACAUGUACAAGCUGUUAAGAAGCAGAAAGGUAUUCAACCAUGUCCUGCUCUUCCUCUUCUAGAAGCCACAAAUACAAGCCAAUGUAACAGCACAAUGUCUGCGAAGGUAACCUAUAAAAAUGAUACCAUAAGGUUUCCACUCUCAUCCUCCUCAACUAUCAAAUAUUUGGAGGAGCAAUUGGAAACAAAGUUCAAAAUAUCACUACAAAAUAUGUCUAUCAAGUAUCAGGAUGAGGAAGAUGAGUGGAUUACCCUGAUGUGUGAUUCGGAAUUGAUGCACGGUUUGGAUGUGUUGAGAUCAUGUGGCAAGACCGUAAUCAAAAUGAUGGUCACCCCCAAAUUUGACUGAUCGAUCUAUGGAAGGACUUCAUUUUGCCCCUCUUCUUUCCCCUACUUACUUCCAUUUCUUCCUUUUGGUGUUGGAACCAUUCUAGGUUUGUUUAGUAACUAGUUUUAUGUGUUUUCUUCCCUUUGUACUCUUUGUAAUGUUAUACGUACAAUAUAAUAUACUCUUGUCCUGACGGGAAGGUUAGAGGUUUGUUAUUUUCUAAUUUCAUAUUUUUGGGUGGUACUGGU
Molecule: long non-coding RNA, 2011 nt
Organism: Ipomoea triloba (trilobed morning glory)
Lineage: Eukaryota; Viridiplantae; Streptophyta; Magnoliopsida; Solanales; Convolvulaceae
Exons: 4
Source: RefSeq, a predicted model, not a curated record